CAUCCAAGCCUGAGUACUACCCUGUGACCGAUAGCGCACCAGUACCGUGAGGGAAAGGUGAAAAGCACCCCGGGAGGGGAGUGAAACAGUACCUGAAACCGUGCGCCCACGAGCAGUCGGAGCAACUUUCAGUUGUGACGGCGUGCCUUUUGUAGAAUGAGCCAGCGAGUCGCUGGCGCGGGGCGAGGUUAACCGAAAGGGAGCCGGAGCGAAAGCGAGCCUUAACAGGGCGACUUGAGUCCCGCGCCGCGGACGCGAAGCCGGGUGAGCUAUCCGUGGGCAGGCUGAAGCGGGGGUAAGACCCCGUGGAGGGCCGAACGCACGUCGGUUGAAAACGGCGGCGAUGACCUGCGGAUAGGGGUGAAAGGCCAAUCAAACCCGGAGAUAUCUCGUUCUCCCCGAAAUAGCUUUAGGGCUAGCGUCGCGCGUUCACCGCCGGAGGUAGAGCACCGGAUGGACGAGGGGGCUUCGCCGCCUACCGAAUCCAACCGAACUCCGAAUGCCGGCGGCCCAGAGCGCGGCAGUCAGAGCAUGUGGGCUAAGCUGUGUGCUCGAGAGGGAAACAGCCCGGACCGCCCGCUAAGGUCCCCAAGUUCCAGCCGAGUGGCAAAGGAUGUGCGUCCGCCCAGACAACCAGGAUGUUGGCUUAGAAGCAGCCAUCCAUUCAAAGAGUGCGUAACAGCUCACUGGUCGAGUGGACAUGCGCCGACAAUACACGGGGCUAAGCUGGACACCGAAGCGGCGGGAUUUUAUUCAUUAGAAUCGGUAGGGGAGCUUCCCAUGGGCGGAGAAGCCGGAGGGCGACCGACGGUGGAGCGCAUGGGAGUGAGAAUGCUGGCAUGAGUAGCGAGAGACGAGAGAGUAACUCGUCCGCCGUGAACCCGAGGUUUCCUGGGCAAGGCUAAUCCUCCCAGGGUCAGUCGGGGGCUAAGGCGAGGCCGGGAGGCGUAGCCGACGCGCAGCAGGCAGACAUUCCUGCACCGCGCACGCGGCGCUACGACCGACGGGGCGACGGAUGGGGGUGGCUCGGCGGGGUUCUGGACGUCCCCGUGAUGGAGCGCGGCCCGCGGACCAGGGAAAUCCGGUCCGCAGAAGGGCGAGGCUCCGGACGAAGCGACUGAGCGAAGCGAGUGAGCCCGAGGUCCCUAGAAAAACCCCUAGGCAGGCGCGUGCGCGCCCGUACCGCAAACCGACACAGGUGGGUGGGUAGAACAUACCGAGGCGAUCGGGUCAACCAUGGUCAAGGAACUCGGCACAAUGGCCCCGUAACUUCGGGAGAAGGGGUGCCCGCGCGUACGUGAACCGGCUCGCCCGGGGAGCGGAGGCGGGCCGCAGUGGAGAGGCCCAAGCGACUGUUUACCAAAAACACAGGACUCUGCAGAAGCCGCAAGGCGACGUAUAGGGUCUGACGCCUGCCCGGUGCCGGAAGGUCACGCGGAGGAGUUAGCCGAUUCGGCGAAGCCCCGAAGCCAAGCCCCGGUAAACGGCGGCCGUAACUAUAACGGUCCUAAGGUAGCGAAAUUCCUUGUCGGGUAAGUUCCGACCUGCACGAAAGGCGCAACGACUUGGGCGCUGUCUCGACCAUGGACCCGGUGAAAUUGCACUGGUCGUGAAGAUGCGACUUACCCGCGGAAGGACGGAAAGACCCCGUGAACCUUCACUGCAGCUUGGCAUUGGCCGCUGGUCCCGCGUGUAGAGGAUAGGCAGGAGGCACAGAUCCGGAGGCGCCAGCCCCCGGGGAGCCGCCCUUGGAAUACUGCCCUCGCGCGACCGGCGUCCUAACCCGAGGCCGUCAACCGGCUCGGGGACCGUGCCAGGCGGGCAGUUUGACUGGGGCG
Molecule: ribosomal RNA, 1838 nt
Filed under: human gut metagenome
Description: bacterial LSU rRNA
Rfam family: Bacterial large subunit ribosomal RNA
Source: RNAcentral